AUUUAUAUAUUAUAAUUAUUAUCGUUGACUUCCAAUCAGCAGAUCUAGAAAACCUAGUAUAAAUA
This 65-nucleotide transfer RNA is filed under the name Mylabris sp. MYL01. RNAcentral's name for it is "tRNA-Gly". Lineage: Eukaryota; Metazoa; Arthropoda; Insecta; Coleoptera; Meloidae. The record is from RNAcentral.